CCCGGUGCCCUCAGGGCGGGCUGAGGGCGGCGCCCCUUUGCCGCCCUGCCGCGGAGCUGGGGCGGUGUCGGGGGCUGUGUGCUCCCCUCAGGAGCUGUAUCUUCAGGGAACCACCGCCAUUCUGGCGAGUCUCGGCCCCUCCGGCCCCGCGCUGGUGAUGCUGAGGAGAACGCUGCGAAGCUGUGAUGGGCUGGGCAGGGCUAAGGCAGGGUGGGCUUGGUUCUCGCUCGCCCCGCUCCACAGUCCAUCACAUUGUGGCCAGAGCGCUUUGAACUGCACUGGUUCAACAUCUCUUCUCGUGGGAAUCCCCUUGCAAAGUUCCCCUUCUGCCUAUGUCUCAGAGAAUUCACUUCACCAUAAGACCGCACAGCUUUCAUAAAAUCCUUUCUUCUCAUGCACUGUUGAAAAGAAUUAAGAUUCAGUGACAGAGAAGGCAAAUCACUGUCAGUUUUCAUUCCUCACCACAAGAAACGAAGUACUGCUGCUGGGGUACUGUGUAUUGUGCUUAAAUGCUAAUGUAACAGUAACAAAGCAUGUGGCUUUC
Molecule: non-coding RNA, 544 nt
Organism: Cyanistes caeruleus (blue tit)
Lineage: Eukaryota; Metazoa; Chordata; Aves; Passeriformes; Paridae
Source: RefSeq, a predicted model, not a curated record